This 389-nucleotide ribosomal RNA is filed under the name uncultured bacterium. RNAcentral describes it as "bacterial SSU rRNA". It matches the Rfam family "Archaeal small subunit ribosomal RNA", at positions 339 to 728 of the family's 1478-position model. The record is from RNAcentral.
GCGCGAAACCUCCGCAAUGUGAGAAAUCGCGACGGGGGGAUCCCAAGUGCCAUUCUUAACGGGAUGGCUUUUCUUUAGUGUAAAAAGCUUUUGGAAUAAGAGCUGGGCAAGACCGGUGCCAGCCGCCGCGGUAACACCGGCAGCUCUAGUGGUAGCAAUUUUUAUUGGGCCUAAAGCGUCCGUAGCCGGUUUAAUAAGUCUCUGGUGAAAUCCUGUAGCUUAACUGUGGGAAUUGCUGGAGAUACUAUUAGACUUGAGACCGGGAGAGGUUAGAGGUACUCCCAGGGUAGAGGUGAAAUUCUGUAAUCCUGGGAGGACCGCCUGUUGCGAAGGCGUCUAACUGGAACGGUUCUGACGGUGAGGGACGAAAGUUAGGGGCGCGAACCGGA